Pocillopora verrucosa is the source of this 648-nucleotide non-coding RNA. The record is from RefSeq and is a predicted model, not a curated record. NCBI's taxonomy places the organism in Eukaryota, Metazoa, Cnidaria, Anthozoa, Scleractinia, Pocilloporidae.
UGACUUUUCAAGUGACGAAGAAGGAGCCGAUAUUCAGGAGUUUGAGAGGGAAACGCCUGACUCUGUAGACUCUGAUAAAGAUAUUGACGAGAUGAAUGACCCCAAGUGAUUUUGGACGAGCAAUGGAAUUUCCAGGGUUGUCUAGCCACUAGAUGCUGAAAAAAAGCCUUCAUCUUGCCCAAAAGUUUUGAAGACGUCCUUUCACGAGUUACCUGUCUCUUUCAUCCAAUUUCAAAAGGCUCAGUGUUUAAAGCGGUUACUGUUAGUUCUGGGCUACGCAAAGAAAGUACUGCUUUGAGGACUUCACUCUUACUGAAGCCAGGACUUCGUUUUAAUACACUAACUUUUGCCCAAGUUGUGUGGGAAUAUUUUUUUAUGAGCCAACACGGAAAUGGACACUUGUAGUAUUUGCGUUUCAGAGCCCCAAUAAUUAAAUUAUUUUGAUUAAAAAGCAGAAUGAACAUAUUAUCGUAGGGCUUGCUAGUUAUCUUUUUUUGCAUCAAAUUGAACGUUCACCACCAAGUGCUACGAAGCGGUUAUGAUACAGUAGUUACGGCGCAUACGUAGCGAAGUCUUACAUCAGUUGUGCGUUCAACCUAAAUGUUACCCCUUCUAUAUUGAAAAAGUAAUAAAGCGCUUUCAAAUAAA